GUGUCAGCAGCCGCGGUAAUACAGAGGUCUCAAGCGUUGUUCGGAUUCAUUGGGCGUAAAGGGUGCGUAGGCGGUGAGGCAAGUCUGGUGUGAAAUCCCGGAGCUCAACUCCGGAACUGCACUGGAUACUGCUUUACUAGAGUACUGGAGAGGGAACUGGAAUUUACGGUGUAGCAGUGAAAUGCGUAGAGAUCGUAAGGAAGACCAGUGGCGAAGGCGAGUUCCUGGACAGUUACUGACGCUGAGGCACGAAGGCCAGGGGAGCAAACGGGAUUAGAUACCCCAGUAGUCC
Molecule: ribosomal RNA, 292 nt
Filed under: uncultured bacterium
Lineage: Bacteria
Description: partial 16S ribosomal RNA
Rfam family: Bacterial small subunit ribosomal RNA
Source: RNAcentral